This 31-nucleotide transfer RNA is filed under the name Raphia hookeri. RNAcentral's name for it is "partial tRNA-His". Lineage: Eukaryota; Viridiplantae; Streptophyta; Magnoliopsida; Arecales; Arecaceae. The record is from RNAcentral.
GGGCGGAUGUAGCCAAGUGGAUCAAGGCGGU